Molecule: transfer RNA, 82 nt
Filed under: Tetraselmis virus 1
Lineage: Varidnaviria; Bamfordvirae; Nucleocytoviricota; Megaviricetes; Imitervirales; Allomimiviridae
Description: tRNA-Leu
Rfam family: tRNA
About the family: Transfer RNA (tRNA) molecules are approximately 80 nucleotides in length. Their secondary structure includes four short double-helical elements and three loops (D, anti-codon, and T loops). Further hydrogen bonds mediate the characteristic L-shaped molecular structure. tRNAs have two regions of fundamental functional importance: the anti-codon, which is responsible for specific mRNA codon recognition, and the 3' end, to which the tRNAs corresponding amino acid is attached (by aminoacyl-tRNA synthetases). tRNAs cope with the degeneracy of the genetic code in two manners: having more than one tRNA (with a specific anti-codon) for a particular amino acid; and 'wobble' base-pairing, i.e. permitting non-standard base-pairing at the 3rd anti-codon position.
Source: RNAcentral
UGUCAGCGUGCCCGAGCGGUCCAAGGGGUCAGUCUCAAGAUCUGAUGGCAUAGCCUCGUGGGUUCGAAUCCCACCGCUGACA